Long non-coding RNA from Capsicum annuum, 545 nucleotides. RefSeq lists it as uncharacterized. The transcript has 2 exons. The record is from RefSeq and is a predicted model, not a curated record. NCBI's taxonomy places the organism in Eukaryota, Viridiplantae, Streptophyta, Magnoliopsida, Solanales, Solanaceae.
CAGAUAGUAUCCCACGUCAAAAGAAGUUAAUGAGGUUAUAAGGGAGAGAGUUAUGAGACUUUUUACAUAUUCUUGGUACGAGUUGUGGGACAUUCCAAUAGUCUCUAAACAAGUCAUGUUUCAAGAGUUUAAGACAAUGUGUCGUUGGUUGGCAAAGCAUGAUCAGGCCAUUUCUACAAUUUUUGAGAGACAUGCUGCUAUGUCACAUUAGAUUUCACAUCUUAGACAUGCCUUGACACAUGCCGUUGCUCCUAAUUCAAGUAGCGAAGAGGAAACGUAGAGUGGUAAGGUGUUUGUUGGGGAUACUUCUUAGUGUUGUGUUGUUUUACUUGACUUUUAGAUAAUUUUUAGAUAUUUUUGAACUUAGCUUUUAAUUUAGUGAAAAAUCUUUAGGAGUGUUUAAGUAUUUGAAUGUUGUUGGAUUCAAUGUUUAAGUGUUGUUGAUUUAAAUUUCUUAAAUAAUUUGUUGAUGUAGUGUGUUGUAUGAUUACUGUAAUAAUGUGUGUUGCAUAAGGGAUGUAUAUACUGAAUUGCAUUUUUGUUUA